UCCGAUAUGGUGUAGUGGCCAACAUGAUGCCCUCUCAUCUCACAGUGAGAGGUUAGGCAUAGCCCCGAGUUCGAUUCUCGGUUUCGGAA
This 89-nucleotide transfer RNA is filed under the name Colletotrichum zoysiae. RNAcentral's name for it is "tRNA-Glu". It matches the Rfam family "tRNA". From Rfam's summary of the family: Transfer RNA (tRNA) molecules are approximately 80 nucleotides in length. Lineage: Eukaryota; Fungi; Ascomycota; Sordariomycetes; Glomerellales; Glomerellaceae. The record is from RNAcentral.